This 1827-nucleotide long non-coding RNA is filed under the name Drosophila guanche. Lineage: Eukaryota; Metazoa; Arthropoda; Insecta; Diptera; Drosophilidae. The record is from RNAcentral.
CACAGAUGGCUUUCCAUAAAAUUAAGCAUUUAAAUAAUUUGUUCAUUUAAAUUCGCAUUUCGAUCUCGAAUCAUUUCGUUUCGUUUCGUCGCACUGGCGGCACCGGCGGCACCGGCGGCAAGUGGUCUCCUCCGCUGCGUCGAAAAUCAUCCAAAAUCGUCGGCAAAUGUCUGCCUCAGCGCGCGGCAUGGCGCAUCUGGGCAUCGGCAACAACAGCAACAACAACAACAAACAGCAAUUGGAGCUGUCAAAACGGCGGCCAUAUUGAAAAUCAUUCAAGUAUUUCGAAACUCGAGGGCGGGGCCACACGACGCGCAUGCGGGUGCGGGUGCGAGCAGGCCGACAAGUGUAUGCCACGCAAGUGAGUGCGUAGAGUGCACCUCUAUAGAGCGGCCAUGCCUGCCACAUUCAGAGGCAACAUUAUGUUGCCUGUUCCGUUUGCUGCGCGAUGCGCAUGCGGUGUGCGUGGAAGAAGUACUGCUGUGCCGGUCCGAGCCAGCGACCAGGUCCGGGUCCAGGCACUUCGAAAACCAUCGAAAACUUCGAUGUCGAAAUCGAAACCCUUGCGGCAGUGGCAGCGAGAGAGCGAACCCUAGAAAUGGUUCUGUCAUGGUAUGGGUGUGCUCUCAGGUAGUUUGCGAGUGUAUUGGUGCGCUGCGCUGCACUAGUGUGGGUGCGAUCUUCGAAUGUUCGAACAUCGAAUUCAGUUUCGACUCAAAACCGGACUUCGAUUCGGGUCUCGGAACUGCUGGCUGCUCGCCGCCUGCUGCUUGCUGGUUUUCCAGAACUGGUUUGGUCUUGGGCCAGGUUUACCUGCUGCUCGAGAGUCUCUCUCCAUCUCCAUCUCCAUCUGCAGUUCUCCCUUCUCCCAGCCAUAAUCAUUCCUGGAGCCAGCGACAGCGACAGGGACAGGGACAGCGACAGCCAUAACCACUGCAUUUGGUUGGGCGGUUGCCCGAAUCGCUUUUUGGGAGUUAAUAUUCUAUUAGAGGCUCAUUUGUGUGAUUGCCAGCGCAGGAUAUGUGUAAUGCUCCUGCUCCAGCAUGUGAGCUCCAUCCUUGUAAUUGCCCGACGAUUGUCGGGUUUCAACUUUUUUUUGCACUUUUGCACUCGCCAGGCAAUUGAAUUGGCAACUGGCAAUUGGGCAAACAUUUGAUUUUGGCCCUUCUCUUGCAGUGUUUAACAACUCAAUUGAAGUUUGGUUCUUCGUUUCUUAUUAUCGCUUCUCUCUCACACACUCAUGAUUUAUGUGCCUCAAGCGGACUGCCUUGGACGCUCAAUAUCGCCCUGAUGGAUCACCGAUCGAUUGAUGGAUUGUGUGAACCCGGUCCCAGACACAGACACGCACUUGUCCGUCCGCCCGCUCGCUGAUACAAACAUACAUAGAUACAUAUGUACAGAUGUAUCUCGUAGUCAUCAUUAUUGGCUCGAGUGGAUUUCUGACAUCUUGCUUUGUUUCCUACAAUCAUUCUCAGCCAGUUUCCAGCUUGCUUUCGAGUAAUUAAUGAUUUAUUUCAGUUUUUUUGAAGUGUUGUCUUAAUUCCAGCGAAGUGAUUAUUGAUAGUUUUGCUCUCACUCUAUAUAUCUAUCUAUCUAUCGCUCUCGGGCAAAGUGUGAGAUGUUUGCAGUGUAGAUACAGUUGCGAUUGGCCAAAGAGUCAGAUGGUUGUUGCAUAUUCCCAAAUGAAAAUGGCGAUGUGUUACGGGAAGGUAACAAUUCAGUUUUUAAAGAAAUUUGAUGCUAAAAGGUGAAAUUCUUUAGGCGAUUGUCUGUUAAUCUAUUUACUUUUAUGCGGGAAUAGUUGGUUGUAGUUAUAUUUAAAUUAGG